This 301-nucleotide ribosomal RNA is filed under the name uncultured bacterium. RNAcentral describes it as "partial 16S ribosomal RNA". It matches the Rfam family "Bacterial small subunit ribosomal RNA", at positions 509 to 807 of the family's 1533-position model. The record is from RNAcentral.
CAGUAGCCACGGGAAUACAGAGGGUGCGAGCGUUAAUCGGAUUUACUGGGCGUAAAGCGUGCGUAGGCGGCUUCUUAAGUCGGAUGAGAAAUCCCUGAGCUUAACUUAGGAAUUGCAUUCGAUACUGGGAAGCUAGAGUAUGGGAGAGGAUGGUAGAAUUCCAGGUGUAGCGGUGAAAUGCGUAGAGAUCUGGAGGAAUACCGAUGGCGAAGGCAGCCAUCUGGCCUAAUACUGACGCUGAGGUACGAAAGCAUGGGGAGCAAACAGGAUUAGAUACCCGCGUAGUCCCUGUCUCUUAUAC